RNAcentral lists this ribosomal RNA (491 nucleotides) under uncultured bacterium. RNAcentral describes it as "partial 16S ribosomal RNA". It matches the Rfam family "Bacterial small subunit ribosomal RNA", at positions 29 to 507 of the family's 1533-position model. The record is from RNAcentral.
GUGAACGCUGGCGGUAGGCCUAACACAUGCAAGUCGAACGGCAGCACAGUAAGAGCUUGCUCUUACGGGUGGCGAGUGGCGGACGGGUGAGGAAUACAUCGGAAUCUACUUUUUCGUGGGGGAUAACGUAGGGAAACUUACGCUAAUACCGCAUACGACCUACGGGUGAAAGCAGGGGAUCUUCGGACCUUGCGCGAUUGAAUGAGCCGAUGUCGGAUUAGCUAGUUGGCGGGGUAAAGGCCCACCAAGGCGACGAUCCGUAGCUGGUCUGAGAGGAUGAUCAGCCACACUGGAACUGAGACACGGUCCAGACUCCUACGGGAGGCAGCAGUGGGGAAUAUUGGACAAUGGGCGCAAGCCUGAUCUAGCCAUACCGCGUGGGUGAAGAAGGCCUUCGGGUUGUAAAGCCCUUUUGUUGGGAAAGAAAAGCAGCAGGUUAAUACCCCGCUGUUCUGACGGUACCCAAAGAAUAAGCACCGGCUAACUUCGUG